CUGGAAAAACUGGCCUCAGCUGAUAUUGAAACUUAUCUGUUAGAAAGUCAAGAGUGACAUUCCAGCUGUCGGCUGAGAGGAGUUACCACAUCUUCUACCAGCUCAUGACUGGACACAAGCCAGAGCUGCUCGAGGCCUUGCUCAUCACCACCAACCCUUAUGACUAUCCAAUGAUCAGCCAGGGUGAAAUCACUGUCAAGAGCAUCAAUGAUGUGGAGGAGUUCAUUGCCACCAGAU
This is a long non-coding RNA of Carassius auratus (goldfish), 237 nucleotides long. RefSeq lists it as uncharacterized. The transcript is spliced from 3 exons. The record is from RefSeq and is a predicted model, not a curated record. Lineage: Eukaryota; Metazoa; Chordata; Actinopteri; Cypriniformes; Cyprinidae.